AACGAACGCUGGCGGCAGGCUUAACACAUGCAAGUCGAACGCCCCGCCAGGGGAGUGGCAGACGGGUGAGUAACACGUGGGAACAUGCCCAAAGGUACGGAAUAUUCUCGGGAAACUGAGAGCAAUACCGUAUGUGCCCGAAAGGGGAAAGAUUUAUCGCCUUUGGAUUGGCCCGCGUCGGAUUAGCUAGUUGGUGGGGUAAAAGCCUACCAAGGCGACGAUCCGUAGCUGGUCUGAGAGGACGACCAGCCACACUGGGACUGAGACACGGCCCAGACUCCUACGGGAGGCAGCAGUGGGGAAUCUUGGACAAUGGGCGCAAGCCUGAUCCAGCCAUGCCGCGUGGAUGAUGAAGGCCCUAGGGUUGUAAAAUCCUUUCGUUGGGGACGAUAAUGACGGUACCCAAAGAAGAAGCGCCGGCUAACUUCGUG
Molecule: ribosomal RNA, 431 nt
Filed under: uncultured bacterium
Lineage: Bacteria
Description: partial 16S ribosomal RNA
Rfam family: Bacterial small subunit ribosomal RNA
Source: RNAcentral